CGUAGGGUGCAAGCGUUAAUCGGAAUUACUGGGCGUAAAGCGUGCGCAGGCGGUCUUGCAAGACAGAUGUGAAAUCCCCGGGCUCAACCUGGGAACUGCAUUUGUGACUGCAAGGCUGGAGUGCGGCAGAGGGGGAUGGAAUUCCGCGUGUAGCAGUGAAAUGCGUAGAUAUGCGGAGGAACACCGAUGGCGAAGGCAAUCCCCUGGGCCUGCACUGACGCUCAUGCACGAAAGCGUGGGGAGCAAACAGGAUUAGAUACCCUGGUAGUCCACGCCCUAAACGAUGUCAACUGGUUGUUGGGAGGGUUUCUUCUCAGUAACGUAGCUAACGCGUGAAGUUGACCGCCUGGGGAGUACGGCCGCAAGGUUG
RNAcentral lists this ribosomal RNA (370 nucleotides) under uncultured organism. RNAcentral's name for it is "bacterial SSU rRNA". It matches the Rfam family "Bacterial small subunit ribosomal RNA", at positions 526 to 896 of the family's 1533-position model. The record is from RNAcentral.